GGGGUCGGUCGGCGGUCGUCGAAGGUCUGCGGACCUUUGGAGGAAAGUCCGAGCUCCACAGGGCAGGGCGCCGGGUAACACCCGGAGGGGGUAACCCCUGGAAAGUGCCACAGAAAACAGACCGCCUCGGGUUUUACACCCAGGGUAAGGGUGAAAAGGUGGGGUAAGAGCCCACCGCUCCUCCUGGCAACAGGGGGAGGCACGGUAAACCCCGCCCGGAGAAAGGCCAUGUAGGGGAGCGCUUGAGGGUGGCCCGCCCGAUGCUCCCGGGUAGGCCGCUAGAGCGGCUGGGUAACCAGUCGCCCAGAGGAAUGACCGCCACCCGCAAGGGUACAGAACUCGGCUUAUGACCGGCCCCCCCU
This 362-nucleotide RNase P RNA is filed under the name Thermodesulfobacteriota bacterium. RNAcentral describes it as "RNase P RNA component class A". It matches the Rfam family "Bacterial RNase P class A". Rfam says of the family: Ribonuclease P (RNase P) is a ubiquitous endoribonuclease, found in archaea, bacteria and eukarya as well as chloroplasts and mitochondria. Its best characterised activity is the generation of mature 5'-ends of tRNAs by cleaving the 5'-leader elements of precursor-tRNAs. The record is from RNAcentral. Lineage: Bacteria; Pseudomonadati; Thermodesulfobacteriota.